This 501-nucleotide ribosomal RNA is filed under the name uncultured bacterium. Its description in RNAcentral is "partial 16S ribosomal RNA". It matches the Rfam family "Bacterial small subunit ribosomal RNA", at positions 30 to 523 of the family's 1533-position model. The record is from RNAcentral.
AUUGAACGCUGGCGGCAGGCUUAACACAUGCAAGUCGAGCGGGGGAGGGUAGCUUGCUACUGGACCUAGCGGCGGACGGGUGAGUAAUGCUUAGGAAUCUGCCUAUUAGUGGGGGACAACAUCUCGAAAGGGAUGCUAAUACCGCAUACGUCCUACGGGAGAAAGCAGGGGAUCUUCGGACCUUGCGCUAAUAGAUGAGCCUAAGUCGGAUUAGCUAGUUGGUGGGGUAAAGGCCUACCAAGGCGACGAUCUGUAGCGGGUCUGAGAGGAUGAUCCGCCACACCGGGACUGGGACACGGCCCAGGCUCCUACGGGAGGCAGCAGUGGGGAAUAUUGGACGAUGGGGGGAACCCUGAUCCAGCCAUGCCGCGUGUGUGAAGAAGGCAUUAUGGUUGUAAAGCACUUUAAGCGAGGAGGAGGCUACUCUAGUUAAUACCUAGGGAUAGUGGACGUUACUCGCAGAAUAAGCACCGGCUAACUCUGUGCCAGCCGCCGCAGUAA